GGGCCUAUAGCUUCAGCUGGUAGAGCGCACGCCUGUAAGCGUGCAAAGGUCGAUGGUUCGAGUCCAUUUAGGCCCACCA
RNAcentral lists this transfer RNA (79 nucleotides) under Bacillus sp. UFRGS-B20. RNAcentral's name for it is "tRNA-OTHER". It matches the Rfam family "tRNA". From Rfam's summary of the family: Transfer RNA (tRNA) molecules are approximately 80 nucleotides in length. Their secondary structure includes four short double-helical elements and three loops (D, anti-codon, and T loops). Lineage: Bacteria; Bacillati; Bacillota; Bacilli; Caryophanales; Bacillaceae. The record is from RNAcentral.